This 326-nucleotide unclassified non-coding RNA is filed under the name uncultured Tomentellopsis. Its description in RNAcentral is "sequence contains 5.8S rRNA gene". The stretch from base 1 to 53 matches the Rfam family "5.8S ribosomal RNA", at positions 102 to 154 of the family's 154-position model. The record is from RNAcentral. Lineage: Eukaryota; Fungi; Basidiomycota; Agaricomycetes; Thelephorales; Thelephoraceae.
GAACGCACCUUGCGCUCCUUGGUAUUCCGAGGAGCAUGCCUGUUUGAGUGUCAUGAAAUCCUCAGCUGCCCCAGGCUUUUGUGGCCUGUGGGUGAAGUUGGACUUGGAGGUAUGCUGGCGCAUGAAUGGGCUUUGUGCCCUGCUGUGCUUGUCGGCUCCUCUUGAAUGUAUGAGCUUUCCAAUCCUUGGCAAAGUAUCGUCGAUGUGAUAAUUAUCUAUGUCGCCCGAGAAAGCCGUAAAGGGGAAAUCUUCGAUCAUGCUGGGGCAACACCCCGCGUCUGACAAAUUCGACCUCAAAUCAGGUAGGACUACCCGCUGAACUUAAG